UGACACUAUGUCAACAUAGGUCAGCUGAUAGCCAUUGUGUGUAGGUAAUCAGUAGUCACCCUGGCGCCUCAACAAAAUAUCAUAGAAUACUCUGUAGCCAAAGUAUUGCCAAAAAGUAAAAAAUGUAUAUUCUAGUCAUGAAAAUGUAAAUACAAGUUGGUGUAAUAAAUGUAUGUUUAAUUCAAAGGAUUGUUUUUGUAUAAGUUGUAUAUGAAUUACAGAGGAUGGAACCUCUACACAAAUGAGUAUAAUACACAGAAAGUCUUUAGUUAGUAUUUGGUAUUUGUGAAUUAUAAUUCACAACAGAAAAAGGAGACAACUCUUGAUUAAGUUUUAGUAUGUUUAGAAAAUACGUCGACAACUCUGGAUCGUUGUUUUUCAUCUCAUUGUUAUUCGUUCAGUAUUGAAAUAGGGUCUUCAUAUAUGAGUAUUGCAAUUAAUAGAGAUUAUAAAAAUUUCAUAUUUUCAAUAAUCUGGUUUAAUUCAAUCAAAUAUUUGUGUGGGUGUGUGGGUGUUGCAGCCUGUAGCUCAUUGCCAUAUUCGGCAUGGCCAUAGAGGGCGCUCGCAGCUUGAAUCAGAAUUUUGGAAUUUCCCGUAUCAGCUUGAAUUAGAAUUUUAGAAUUCCCGAAUCGGGCACUUGUUAAUUUGCUGUCGACUAGAAAGCAGGUGUUACACAAAUUAGUUAAACUUUUAAAACCCGCCCGCCCCUCCCUAUGAGAAUAGUUGCUGCUGUUUUUGUUUUAUAUUUUCAGGCAUCUGUUUGCUGUAUUUGAUUGGCAUAUUAUGGUUACCAGUAUCCAAGCAGGACCUUCAUAGUAUUAGACCAAUACAGGAUAAUUUCGAAUAAACUUGCGUUUCUAUGAAUUGGACAUUUCCGUUAUUAAGCACUUUAUUAACAUAUUAUGGACUAUUGUGAUUUGAGCAUCCAGCAUUAAUUUUAGUUUUUAUUAAUUAACAAUUAUAUUAAUUGGAACGAAAACAAGACAUUUUUAAAAAAUCAAUUAUCUUCUUUUAUCCUAAGGCGCAGAGUCAAUUUUGAAUGGGGGGAGGUCCAGGGAGACUGGUAGUGAUUGGGGGAUUAUUUCACUCGGCCCUUGCUCUGGGCCUGACAAGUUAUAAAAUUUGCAGGUUUGGAAAAUGUGGUUAGUGGUAACGGUGUGGUCUACAGAUGGGUGACUCUGGGACCUCCUCCACCUCAUCUCAUAGAGGGGAGGCCUACACCUGCCAACAGGUGGGGCGCUAACUGGAGC
RNAcentral lists this long non-coding RNA (1250 nucleotides) under Mytilus galloprovincialis (Mediterranean mussel). Lineage: Eukaryota; Metazoa; Mollusca; Bivalvia; Mytilida; Mytilidae. The record is from RNAcentral.